Molecule: ribosomal RNA, 255 nt
Filed under: Triticum aestivum (bread wheat)
Lineage: Eukaryota; Viridiplantae; Streptophyta; Magnoliopsida; Poales; Poaceae
Description: partial small subunit ribosomal RNA
Source: RNAcentral
AUGGGAGACCAAAUAUUGCCUUUCCGGACAUCUCUAUACGCAGACGACGCAGUGCUAUUCAUCAACCCUUGCCGGCGUGAGAUUGUCGCCGUAAGCCAGAUCUUAGGGCUGUUCGGCGAUGCCACGGGCUUGCACACGAACCUCGCAAAGUCAUCCGUAUCGCCCAUCUGCUGCGAGGGGAUGGACCUGCAGGAGUUGCUCCAAGACUUGAACUGCCCGAUCAAGCAUUUUCCGUGCACCUACCUCGGCAUGCCC